RNAcentral lists this ribosomal RNA (444 nucleotides) under uncultured bacterium. Its description in RNAcentral is "partial 16S ribosomal RNA". It matches the Rfam family "Bacterial small subunit ribosomal RNA", at positions 354 to 796 of the family's 1533-position model. The record is from RNAcentral.
GUAGGGAAUAUUGGGCAAUGGUCGGAAGACUGACCCAGCCAUGCCGCGUGCAGGAAGACGGCCCUCUGGGUUGUAAACUGCUUUUAUCUGGGAAGAAAAAGGCCAUGCGUGGCAAAUUGCCGGUACCAGAUGAAUAAGCACCGGCUAACUCCGUGCCAGCAGCCGCGGUAAUACGGAGGGUGCGAGCGUUGUCCGGAUUUAUUGGGUUUAAAGGGUGCGUAGGCGGCUGCUUAAGUCAGCGGUGAAAGACUUCGGCUUAACCGGAGCAGUGCCGUUGAUACUGGUUGGCUUGAGUGUCGGAGGGGUACAUGGAAUUGAUGGUGUAGCGGUGAAAUGCAUAGAUACCAUCAGGAACACCGAUAGCGAAGGCAUUGUACUGGCCGACAACUGACGCUGAUGCACGAAAGUGUGGGGAUCGAACAGGAUUAGAAACCCCGGUAGUCC